AGGGCUAUAGCUCAGUGGGUAGAGCACUUGCCUGGUAUGCAAGAAAACUUGGGCUUCAUCUAGAACUU
RNAcentral lists this transfer RNA (68 nucleotides) under Cricetulus griseus (Chinese hamster). It matches the Rfam family "tRNA". Rfam says of the family: Transfer RNA (tRNA) molecules are approximately 80 nucleotides in length. Their secondary structure includes four short double-helical elements and three loops (D, anti-codon, and T loops). Lineage: Eukaryota; Metazoa; Chordata; Mammalia; Rodentia; Cricetidae. The record is from Rfam by way of RNAcentral.